AUCACGCUGGCGGCGUGCCUCAGACAUGCAAGUCGAACGAUUAAAGCUCUCUUCGGAGAGUGCAUAGAGUGGCGCACGGGUGAGUAACACGUAAGUAAUCUACCCUCGAGUGGGGAAUAACGUCCGGAAACGGACGCUAAUACCGCAUAAUGCAGCGGCACCGCAAGGUGACAGUUGUUAAAGAUUUAUCGCUUGAGGAGGAGCUUGCGGCAGAUUAGCUAGUUGGUAAGGUAAUGGCUUACCAAGGCUACGAUCUGUAACCGGUCUUAGAGGACGGUCGGUCACACUGACACUGAAUAACGGGUCAGACUCCUACGGGAGGCAGCAGUCGGGAAUUUUGGGCAAUGGGCGAAAGCCUGACCCAGCAACGCCGCGUGAAGGAUGAAGUAUUUCGGUAUGUAAACUUCGAAAGAAUAGGAAGAAUAAAUGACGGUACUAUUUAUAAGGUCCGGCUAACUACGUG
This 463-nucleotide ribosomal RNA is filed under the name uncultured bacterium. RNAcentral's name for it is "bacterial SSU rRNA". It matches the Rfam family "Bacterial small subunit ribosomal RNA", at positions 33 to 507 of the family's 1533-position model. The record is from RNAcentral.